This 256-nucleotide long non-coding RNA is filed under the name Brassica napus (rape). RNAcentral's name for it is "long non-coding RNA (BNAP_LNC008157)". Lineage: Eukaryota; Viridiplantae; Streptophyta; Magnoliopsida; Brassicales; Brassicaceae. The record is from RNAcentral.
AGUGAUGACGAGAAUGUCAAUGAUGUAUCCGAAUGAUGAUGUAAUUUUCUUUAAUAUGAUUUACUUUGAGACAUAAUGCAAGUGUUUAGUUUGUUUAAUCAUGAAAAUUAAAUUAUAUAAUUUUAUUUUGUGUCAGGCAAUUGGGGGUUUGGGGUUUAGAAAGAAGAGAUUGAGUGAUGAAGUUAAGGAACUUGGGGUUUGGGGGUUUCGGGUUAUAGGGAUUUGCAUAUCUUCCUCGUAAAACCCUCGUAAAAAA